AAAUUCCAAAAUGAAAGUGAAAUAUGCUGCACAAGUUUUCAGCCAAAGGGUAUCAUCAGCAUUGAGAUUCUUAGCAAAACACAACCUUCUUCCGGCGGAGUGCGAAGAAACUGCUGAUUUUCUACUCAUUA
This is a long non-coding RNA of Helicoverpa armigera (cotton bollworm), 131 nucleotides long. RefSeq lists it as uncharacterized. The record is from RefSeq and is a predicted model, not a curated record. The transcript has 2 exons. NCBI's taxonomy places the organism in Eukaryota, Metazoa, Arthropoda, Insecta, Lepidoptera, Noctuidae.